GACGAACGCUGGCGGCGUGCCUAAUACAUGCAAGUCGAACGCUGAAGAGAGGAGCUUGCUCUUCUUGGGUGAGUUGCGAACGGGUGAGUAACGCGUAGGUAACCUGCCUUGUAGCGGGGGAUAACUACUGGAAACGAUAGCUAAUACCGCAUAACAAUGGAAGACACAUGUCUCAUAUUUGAAAGGGGCUAUUGCUCCACUAUAUGAUGGACCUGCGUUGUAUUAGCCAGUAGGUGAGGUAACGGCUUACCCAAGCGAAGAUACAUAGCCGACCUGAGAGGGGUGUCGGCCACAAUGGGACUGGGACACGGGCCAAGCUUCCUCGGGAGGCAGGAGGUGGGAAACUUCGGGAAUGGGGGGAACGCUUAACGGAGCACGCCGGGUGAAGGGAGGAAGGUCUCGGAACGGAAAACUCUGGUGUUUAUGAAGGAAGAGUGUGGGAAUGAAAAGUUUACGUCGUGACGGUAGCUAAUCAGAAAGGGACGGCUAACUACGUG
This 497-nucleotide ribosomal RNA is filed under the name uncultured bacterium. RNAcentral describes it as "partial 16S ribosomal RNA". It matches the Rfam family "Bacterial small subunit ribosomal RNA", at positions 28 to 507 of the family's 1533-position model. The record is from RNAcentral.